UUUUAAAAACCCCGAUAAUACAUAAAACCCAAUAAUACCAAAAAAAAAACUAAAUUCUGAUUUUCUAUUUCUCCCGUUCCCCUUCUCCUUCCCCGUUCCACUUCUUUGUCAUAAAAAACCUCUGUUUCUCUUCAACACAAAAAACCCGAUAAUGACUUUCUUCUCCAUUGUUUCACAAACAUGAGAACAACGACUACACAAUGCACUCGGCAGAGAGGCUCCACAACACCAUUGAGAUCUGUGGCGGAUUGACCCAAGAGACAACUCUCCACUUCCACCCAUUUGCACGGAUGGGUUUGCUUGAAGGUUUUCUCUCUCUCUUUGGAACACUGGUAAUUCAGCUUAGGCGACAUGGGGGAGGCAUUGCUUACUUGAGUGGCAAUGCUUCUGCUCUGUCCCUGUGUAGAUACUAUUUCAUUUGAUGGAGAUCAAUAAUGAUUAUUCUAAUGAAGCCACAAACGUCAUUGCUUUUCAAGUAGUCAUGGGUUAUGCACCUGGCUUCAUUUUGAUCCAGGGGUUCCGAUUCAAGAGUACAUGUCUUAAAUGCACACAGGGGAAAUACUCUAGACAGCCACAGGCUUAUGCAUUUCGCUGGGCAACAGGGUCUUGAUAAGCAACAUAAUCUUAUGGAGGUGCUCUCUCUUGGUUACUUCACUCAGGCAAAAUUUAUUGGUGACAAAUUGCUGAAUAAAUAUAUUGCUUGAAAUUCAUUCUCUCUCAAUCGCGCUAUAGUCUGCCCCCUCAAUCUUUGCCUUUUAUCAACGCCACCACCAAGGCUUACAUCAGUGAUACUUCAAAUGAAUGCAGUAGCAACUUAUCAAGUGAACAAGGUAAUGAUUCUACAAAGUUUCAAAAAGUUGAUGUUCAAAGCAAUGUGCAACUCACACCAACAUCUAUGCUCAAGGAAAACAAAAGGACAUAUUUAGUGACUAUUACAAAGCAACAAAGGAAGAAGAUACAAAAAACACUUUUUAAAGUUUUUUUUUUUUUUUUCAAUUUAUUUGAAAUAAUGAUUAAGUAGUUCUUUAAAUUUGUGUUUCAUACAUUUUAUGGAUAAUUGAGGAUGUUAAAGAUUUAAUUCUUCAUUUUAUUUUAAACUUAAGUUUGAUUUCUA
Molecule: long non-coding RNA, 1114 nt
Organism: Quercus robur (English oak)
Lineage: Eukaryota; Viridiplantae; Streptophyta; Magnoliopsida; Fagales; Fagaceae
Exons: 4
Source: RefSeq, a predicted model, not a curated record